CCUUUACAUUUACAAGUCCACGGGGGCAUGCUUUCCGAAAGGACAGCUGGUGGAUGUCUGGUUCCACUGGCUGGGGCGCGAAAGAUAUUAGUUCCACGUUUAGGUACCUGCUACUAAUAGGCUAGUAACGCUGAUCGAGCUGCUUCCUGAACCUCACCCUUGCUUUUUGCGCACCUAUUGUUUCCUCGGCAGGCUUGCCUGCCAGGAGGACCCCAUUCAACCCUUUGCAAUUGCAGUCAGCGUCAGAAACAACGUAAUUGUUA
RNAcentral lists this unclassified non-coding RNA (263 nucleotides) under soil metagenome. RNAcentral's name for it is "partial internal transcribed spacer 1". The record is from RNAcentral.